UUCGUCCUAAAAAAGUCUUUGCACAGCACCAAGACAAAAGGCCCACUCUUAAAUUCACUUUUAGAAAAUUUACUUUCCCUUUCAGAUUUAAUCAACCUAUCACAGGAAAAAAUAAAUACUUUCUUUCAAGACAGAGCAGAAUCUCACGGUCACCAAUAUCAAGCCUGGUUUUAUUUACAAGCAUAUAAUAACUCACUACUGAUACUUCCCAGUAAUUCUGUAGUAAAUAUUUAACCUUUUGUGUGAUAUGUCUAAGAAGAGCACGGUCCAGACACUGGUGUCUCUGUUCUGUGGUUAUUUUCCUAAAGGCUCUUUGAAUAGAGCUAGAUGAGCAGAAAUAAAGUGGUGGUAAACAAUGCCCGGCCUUAAAUCCCAGCCCAGUUUGAGACCUCAGACAAGGUGUUCAACAACAUUACACCUUGGAAAUUUUCUGGAAACCAAACACGAUAGCAGCUAAGCCUUUGAGUGUCUGCCACAUUCCAAACUCUGUGUCAAGUGCUGCACUUACGUGAACCCAUUCAGCCCUCACAGCUGCUCGGUUACCUAGGAACAGCUGGCAGCAUGAGCUCUUCGCAGACAACAGAGGGAAUGGCGGAGUCCGGAUGCGAUCUAGGCAAGCUAGCCCCUGAGGCGCACACACGAUGGGAUGUUUUCAAGCUGGAGGAAGCAGAUACCCUCUGCCACGUCAUGAUGCUACAAGACCAGAUGCUAGUGUGUUCAUACAGACUUCCCAGCCUCAGACUGUGAGCAAAUGCUAACCUUAACUUAAAACCUUUCUCUAUAAAUAA
This is a long non-coding RNA of Mesocricetus auratus (golden hamster), 788 nucleotides long. RefSeq lists it as uncharacterized. NCBI's taxonomy places the organism in Eukaryota, Metazoa, Chordata, Mammalia, Rodentia, Cricetidae. The record is from RefSeq and is a predicted model, not a curated record. The transcript is spliced from 2 exons.